This 502-nucleotide ribosomal RNA is filed under the name uncultured bacterium. RNAcentral describes it as "partial 16S ribosomal RNA". It matches the Rfam family "Bacterial small subunit ribosomal RNA", at positions 29 to 507 of the family's 1533-position model. The record is from RNAcentral.
AGCGAACGCUGGCGGCGUGCCUAACACAUGCAAGUCGAACGUGAAAGGGAGCAAUCCCAAGUAAAGUGGCGUACGGGUGAGUAACACGUAGGUAAUCUACCCCAGAAUCUGGAAUAACCGGCCGAAAGGCUGGCUAAUACUGGAUAGAGCGACGGAAUCCGUAAUUGGGUUUUUCGGGAAAGGUAGCCUGUAAAAAGGCCUUCGUUCUGGGAUGAGCCUGCGUCCCAUCAGCUAGUUGGUGAGGUAAAAGCUUACCAAGGUAAUGACGGGUAGCUGGUCUGAGAGGACGAUCAGCCAAACUGGAACUGAAACACGGUCCAGACUCCUACGGGAGGCAGCAGUGGGGAAUCUUGCGCAAUGGGCGAAAGUCUGACGCAGCAACGCCGCGUGAGUGAAGAAGGCCUUCGGGUUGUAAAGCUCUGUCGAGUGGGACGAAAAUGCUUGGAGUUAACAGCUCCAGGAACUGACGGUACCAAUAAAGGAAGCACCGGCUAACUCCGUG